This 611-nucleotide ribosomal RNA is filed under the name Scelophysa sp. 'endroedyyoungai' DA-2011. RNAcentral's name for it is "partial 16S large subunit ribosomal RNA". It matches the Rfam family "Bacterial large subunit ribosomal RNA", at positions 1844 to 2731 of the family's 2925-position model. The record is from RNAcentral. Lineage: Eukaryota; Metazoa; Arthropoda; Insecta; Coleoptera; Scarabaeidae.
UUUAAAGUCUAAUCUGCCCAAUGAGAAAUUAAAUGGCCGCAGUAAUUUGACUGUGCAAAGGUAGCAUAAUAAUUAGUUUUUUAAUUGAAAGCUGGAAUGAACGAUUGGACGAGAAAAUAACUGUCUCUAUUUAAUUUAUUUAGAAUUUUAUUUUUAAGUAAGAAAGCUUAAUUGAAUUUAAAAGACGAGAAGACCCUAUAGAGUUUUAUAUUUGUAUAAUAGGGAAUUUUGUUGUAAGUUUAAAUUUCUAAUUAUAUAAGUAUUUUAUUGGGGUGAUAGAAAAAUUAGAUUAACUUUUUUUAGAAGUAUUUCAUUGAUUUAUGUUUGUAUGAUCCAUUUUUAAUGAUUAUAAGAUUAAAUUACCUUAGGGAUAACAGCGUAAUUUUUUUUGAGAGUUCAUAUCGAAAAAAGAGUUUGCGACCUCGAUGUUGGAUUAAAAUAAACUUCUGGAGCAGAAGCUAGAAAGUUAGGUCUGUUCGACCUUUAAAAUUUUACAUGAUCUGAGUUUAAACCGGUGUGAGCCAGGUUGGUUUCUAUCUUUAAUUAAUUAAUAUAUCUUAGUACGAAAGGACUUGAUAUGUAUAAUAAUUGUUAUAAAUUGAAUUUUAUUA